AUCUUUUUCUAGAGAUCACUCUCUUUGGAGUUUUUCUGUGAGCCUAAGACUGGAAUAGGGAAGUAAUUGUCCCCCUGUACUCAACACUGGUGAGGCCGCACCUCGAGUACUGUGUCCAGUUUUGGGCCCCUCACUGUAAGAAAGACAUCGAGGCCCUGGAGCACGUCCAGAGGAGGGCAACAAAGCUAGUGAGGUGUCUGGAGCACAGGCCUUAUUAGGAGCGGUUGAGGGAGCUGGGAUUGUUCAGUCUGGAGGAGAGGAGGCUCAGGGGAGACCUUAUUGCUCUCUAGAACUACCUGAAGGGAGGGUGUAGCGAGCUGGGGGUCAGCCUCUUCUCUCGGGUGACUAGUGAUAGGACUAGAAGGAAUGGAUUCAAACUGCGCCAGGGGAGGCUCAGGCUGGACGUUAGGAAAUACUACUUAUCUGAAAGGGUGGUCAGGCACUGGAAUGGGCUGCCCAGAGAGGUGGUGGAGUCACCGACCCUGUUGGUGUUCAAAGAGCGUUUGGAUGUUGUGUUGAGGGACAUGGUUUAGCGAGAACCAUUGGUGAUGGGUGGGUGGAUGGACUGGAUGAUCCUGUGGGUCUUUUCCAACCUUAGUGAUUCUAUGAUUCUCCUAAUCAAAUUACUCACCCUAUGAUAUAGAAAACAAACUAUUUUAAAGUUAUCAGACUUAUGAGCUGGAGCUUGCUAAUCUCAUAUUUUAUUUCUUACUCUGGUUUACCAUCAUAUUAGAACUCAAAACAUUAAAUUUACUUCACCUGUGAAGGUUAGUAAUAUCUUUCAGCUGUAACAUGGUGCUAAAGAUUUAGGAGUUGUAAAUCACCCAGCCUACCUUUCUUGUGCCUAUGCUUUUCUGGAAGCCUCCUCAGAAAGAUGUGGAAAAUAAUUCUGAAGUGUUUACUUUUUAUUUGGAGUAGAGGAUUCAAAAGAUGAAAUUGCUUAGUCCUGGGUAUGUCAUGUGACUUCCCAUAUCAUUUAUGGGCAAAUGAAGCAUAUAUCUGAUGGUGUCUCAUGAAGCUUUCUCUAAAAUAUAGUUACUUGAAGUGUCAACAGUAAUGUAAGCAGAAAAAUAAUUAAAUGCAAAUUAUGCAGUACUACUGGACAAAACUUAAAAUGUUUUGCUAAUUCACUAACUACAAUGGAAAUGAUACAAGGCAAAUUGUGUUUUGGCUAAAUUCAUGUUUAUCAUGGCAUAAUAAUAAAAUGGCAAAGACCCCAGGCCUGGACACAGUACUGCAGGUGGUGUUUCAUAAGUGCAGAUGAGAGAGAGAGUCAUCUCCCUUGACCUUCUAGCUAUGCUUCUCUUGAUGCAGACCAGGGUACAGUUGAAUUUCUGAACUGCAAGCACACACUGCUGGCUCCUGUUGAGCUUUACUUCGAUUAAUAUAACCAAGUCUUUUUGCCACAGGGCUACUCUCUAUCCAAUAGUUGCCCUGCCUUUAUUCAUGUUUGGGAUUGUCCUCUCUGAGGUGCAGGACUUUUCACUUGCUCUUGUUUAUCCACAUGUUGUUCGCAAAGGCUCAUAUCUCAAGCCUGUCAAGGUCCGUCUGGAUGGCACUCCUUACCUCCAGCAUGUCCACUGCAUCACUCAGCUUGGUGUCAUCAGCUGAGUGUUAUUGUAAACACAAAUUAGCUUAUGCAAUUUAAAAAAAAUGUUAAGAUUUCCUGUCUUGUUGUUUUGGUAACAGCACAGAUUUUUCUCAGCUUGUUUCAGACUUUGAGGAAAAACAAUGUGAUUUCUGAUAAUUCUUUUUAAGUGAGAGAAAGGGACUGUCGAAAAUGUUUGCCUUUUUGCUAGAGGAUAAAUUUGUCAUAUGCAGUACUCCAGCACUAAAAACAUUAACUAAUUCUGCUUGCCAGGAGUAGGAGGCUUUACAGAACAAAUCACAUUGUUGCAUCUUGAGGUUCAUUAACCAAAGCUGAUGUGCAAAUUAAUUCAAAAGUUAGCUUCCACUCUUUUUUUCUCCUUUUUCUUUGCUGACUUGUUGUGGGUUUUUUGUGAUACAAAACUAUACUUCAGAUUUCAUUGACUGAGUGCAUUUAAAGCUAUAGCUAAACUAAUAAUUCAAGUAACAAGAUGUUGUGGAUUUAGAAACAACUCAUAGUUUUUGUCUCUAUUGCCAGCGAAUCUUUCUCUCCUAAAAGCGAUGAAAAAAUACUUGAAACUCGAGAAGAAUGCAAGUCAUAAAUUAGAAACACAGAAAAUCACUAAGUCAUAAAAACCCCCAGUGAUCCAGUAAUUAAUUUCUUCUCAAGUCAGUUUUAAAUGUGUGUGAUGUUUUUGGAGGUAGGGGGAAAAUAGGAGCCCUUCUAGACUUCUUUCAGCAGGUUUGAAUAUGUCCUUAAAGCACUGUGAAUGGCAGAGCAUGGUAAAACAUUAUAUUCACUAGAGUAUGUGGAGUGGGGCAAGAUAUUUUCUGUAAAUAAGUAGUGCAUUAUACCUAUACACAAUUAGAUAAAUAUGCACUGCUUUGCUGAAAGACAGAAAAAUUGAGUCUUGGGGUAUGUUAAUUUAUUUUGUAUCUACUGUCAGAAGAGGGUUUGAGUGAAAACUUUCUUGAUUAAUAUCUACAACAAAUGACUAAUCUACUUCCUAUUAUGUCGUAAAGUUGAAAAGACUCUACAGUGGAUUUAGUAAUUGUCUUACUUUCACCUGGGAUGGAACUGUUUUCUUUAGAGGGUCUGGUAUGAUGAUAUGUUUUUGGAUUGAGGAGAAAAAUAAACAUUGGUGUGUU
Molecule: long non-coding RNA, 2736 nt
Filed under: Gallus gallus (chicken)
Lineage: Eukaryota; Metazoa; Chordata; Aves; Galliformes; Phasianidae
Description: lncRNA (ENSGALG00010009794.1)
Source: RNAcentral